GGUUAAGUGACUAAGCGUACACGGUGGAUGCCCUGGCAGUCAGAGGCGAUGAAGGACGUGCUAAUCUGCGAAAAGCGUCGGUAAGGUGAUAUGAACCGUUAUAACCGGCGAUGUCCGAAUGGGGAAACCCAGUGCAAUUCGUUGCACUAUCGUUAACUGAAUACAUAGGUUAACGAGGCGAACCGGGGGAACUGAAACAUCUAAGUACCCCGAGGAAAAGAAAUCAACCGAGAUUCCCCCAGUAGCGGCGAGCGAACGGGGAGCAGCCCAGAGUCUGAAUCAGCUUGUGUGUUAGUGGAACGGUCUGGAAAGUCCGACGGUACAGGGUGAUAGUCCCGUACACCAAAAUGCACAGGCUGUGAACUCGAAGAGUAGGGCGGGACACGUGGUAUCCUGUCUGAAUAUGGGGGGACCAUCCUCCAAGGCUAAAUACUCCUGACUGACCGAUAGUGAACCAGUACCGUGAGGGAAAGGCGAAAAGAACCCCGGCGAGGGGAGUGAAAAAGAACCUGAAACCGUGUACGUACAAGCAGUGGGAGCACCUUCGGGUGUGACUGCGUACCUUUUGUAUAAUGGGUCAGCGACUUAUAUUCUGUAGCAAGGUUAACCGUAUAGGGGAGCCGCAGGGAAACCGAGUCUUAACUGGGCGUUAAGUUGCAGGGUAUAGACCCGAAACCCGGUGAUCUAGCCAUGGGCAGGUUGAAGGUUGGGUAACACUAACUGGAGGACCGAACCGACUAAUGUUGAAAAAUUAGCGGAUGACUUGUGGCUGGGGGUGAAAGGCCAAUCAAACCGGGAGAUAGCUGGUUCUCCCCGAAAGCUAUUUAGGUAGCGCCUCGUGAACUCAUCUUCGGGGGUAGAGCACUGUUUCGGCUAGGGGGUCAUCCCGACUUACCAACCCGAUGCAAACUACGAAUACCGAAGAAUGUUAUCACGGGAGACACACGGCGGGUGCUAACGUCCGUCGUGAAGAGGGAAACAACCCAGACCGCCAGCUAAGGUCCCAAAGUCAUGGUUAAGUGGGAAACGAUGUGGGAAGGCACAGACAGCCAGGAUGUUGGCUUAGAAGCAGCCAUCAUUUAAAGAAAGCGUAAUAGCUCACUGGUCGAGUCGGCCUGCGCGGAAGAUGUAACGGGGCUAAACCAUGCACCGAAGCUGCGGCAGCGACACUAUGUGUUGUUGGGUAGGGGAGCGUUCUGUAAGCCUGCGAAGGUGUGCUGUGAGGCAUGCUGGAGGUAUCAGAAGUGCGAAUGCUGACAUAAGUAACGAUAAAGCGGGUGAAAAGCCCGCUCGCCGGAAGACCAAGGGUUCCUGUCCAACGUUAAUCGGGGCAGGGUGAGUCGACCCCUAAGGCGAGGCCGAAAGGCGUAGUCGAUGGGAAACAGGUUAAUAUUCCUGUACUUGGUGUUACUGCGAAGGGGGGACGGAGAAGGCUAUGUUAGCCGGGCGACGGUUGUCCCGGUUUAAGCAUGUAGGCUGAUUAUCCAGGCAAAUCCGGAUAAUCAAGGCUGAGGUGUGAUGACGAGGCACUACGGUGCUGAAGUAACAAAUGCCCUGCUUCCAGGAAAAGCCUCUAAGCAUCAGGUAACAUCAAAUCGUACCCCAAACCGACACAGGUGGUCAGGUAGAGAAUACCAAGGCGCUUGAGAGAACUCGGGUGAAGGAACUAGGCAAAAUGGUGCCGUAACUUCGGGAGAAGGCACGCUGGUGUGUAGGUGAAGUCCCUGCGGAUGGAGCUGAGACCAGUCGAAGAUACCAGCUGGCUGCAACUGUUUAUUAAAAACACAGCACUGUGCAAACACGAAAGUGGACGUAUACGGUGUGACGCCUGCCCGGUGCCGGAAGGUUAAUUGAUGGGGUUAUCCGUAAGGAGAAGCUCUUGAUCGAAGCCCCGGUAAACGGCGGCCGUAACUAUAACGGUCCUAAGGUAGCGAAAUUCCUUGUCGGGUAAGUUCCGACCUGCACGAAUGGCGUAAUGAUGGCCAGGCUGUCUCCACCCGAGACUCAGUGAAAUUGAACUCGCUGUGAAGAUGCAGUGUACCCGCGGCAAGACGGAAAGACCCCGUGAACCUUUACUAUAGCUUGACACUGAACAUUGAGCCUUGAUGUGUAGGAUAGGUGGGAGGCUUUGAAGCGUGGACGCCAGUCUGCGUGGAGCCAACCUUGAAAUACCACCCUUUAAUGUUUGAUGUUCUAACGUUGGCCCCUGACCGGGGUUGCGGACAGUGUCUGGUGGGUAGUUUGACUGGGGCGGUCUCCUCCCAAAGCGUAACGGAGGAGCACGAAGGUUAGCUAAUCCUGGUCGGACAUCAGGAGGUUAGUGCAAUGGCAUAAGCUAGCUUGACUGCGAGCGUGACGGCGCGAGCAGGUGCGAAAGCAGGUCAUAGUGAUCCGGUGGUUCUGAAUGGAAGGGCCAUCGCUCAACGGAUAAAAGGUACUCCGGGGAUAACAGGCUGAUACCGCCCAAGAGUUCAUAUCGACGGCGGUGUUUGGCACCUCGAUGUCGGCUCAUCACAUCCUGGGGCUGAAGUAGGUCCCAAGGGUAUGGCUGUUCGCCAUUUAAAGUGGUACGCGAGCUGGGUUUAGAACGUCGUGAGACAGUUCGGUCCCUAUCUGCCGUGGGCGCUGGAGAAUUGAGGGGGGCUGCUCCUAGUACGAGAGGACCGGAGUGGACGCAUCACUGGUGUUCGGGUUGUCAUGCCAAUGGCACUGCCCGGUAGCUAAAUGCGGAAGAGAUAAGUGCUGAAAGCAUCUAAGCACGAAACUUGCCCCGAGAUGAGUUCUCCCUGAGACUUUAAGUCUCCUGAAGGAACGUUGAAGACGACGACGUUGAUAGGCCGGGUGUGUAAGCGCAGCGAUGCGUUGAGCUAACCGGUACUAAUGAACCGUGAGGCUUAACCUU
RNAcentral lists this ribosomal RNA (2902 nucleotides) under Klebsiella pneumoniae. Its description in RNAcentral is "23S ribosomal RNA". It matches the Rfam family "Bacterial large subunit ribosomal RNA". Lineage: Bacteria; Pseudomonadati; Pseudomonadota; Gammaproteobacteria; Enterobacterales; Enterobacteriaceae. The record is from RNAcentral.